AAGAUAACAUUUGAAAUCAAAUAAUUGUAGAAUCAUCUCUGACCAGACUGAAUAUGAAAAGAGAGAACAGACAAAUCUAAAAAGGCUUGUUUUGAUUGUUGAGAUCACUUAAACUCCAUCUGUAUACAAAAUUGUGAACUUUAAUUACUGUUCGGUAGAAGAAAACUAGGAAAGUCAAAAAGGCUAAUUAAAAUUUACAUAAGUACAAUAUAAGAUAAAUGAGUAAAACCACAAAACACAUAUUUUCUCCACUCAACUGGGGUUGCUACUGGUCAAGAUUGAAAGAAUUCUUUUUAAAGUCACGCAUUUAUUUGCCUGAUACUUUGCCACUGUCUGGCACCAAAAGAAUAUAAUUCGAAGUGAAAAUUGUGUCUGUCAUUCAGAGUUUUUGACUACACAAGACUAAACAUCUGCAUAUUUGGAUGAAUGCCUGGCUUUCUAAUUCACUAACUGAGAGGAGAUGCACCAUUAGUUGUUAUCCUGAGCAUCAAGAAGGUUAAUUCAUUAUGCAUAUCAGAUAUCAGUGUACUUCUUUGGGGUACAUUUAUCUUAUCAUCUAAGAUUAUGUUGAUUUUAUUUAGAUCAUAUCCAAAUAAAGGAUAAUUAAACUGCUAUGUGACAGGAAAUAAUCCACUGUUAGGGAAUUCUGCAAAUAUAAAAUUAACUCCCAGGAUGACCUUCAGGGUACAGGAGAAAAGAAGAAAGGAGCAAGAACGUGAGGCCAGUAUCAAUCCUCUCUUAGUAAAUAGCAUUGUGAGUUCUGUCAAGUAAUUUAAAAUGGGGUCCUCAAACCCUGGACCAGGGACUGCUACUGAUCCAUGGACUGUUAGGAACUGGGCCCCACAGCAGAAGGUGAGCUGUGGGCAAGAAAGCGACACUUCAUCUGUUAUUUACAAGCACUCCCCAUCACUCACAUUAACCAGCUGAUCUCCACCUCCUGUCAAAAUAGGGGGUGAGGAAUCAGAUUCCAAUAGGCGCACAAACUCUAUUGUGAACUGCACAUGUGAGUGAUCCAGGUUGCUGCUCCUUAUGAGAAUCUAAUGCCUGACGAUCUGUCACUGUCUCUCAUCAUCCCCAGAUGGGACUGUCUAGUUGCAGGAAAUCAAGCUUAGGGCUCUGACUGAUUCUAUAUUAUGUUGAGUUGCAUAAUUAUUUCAUUACAUAUUACAAUAUAAUGAUAAUAAAGUACACAAUAAAUGUAAUGUAUUCGAAUCAUUGCAACCCGCCAUCCCGGGAAAACUGUCUUCCAAGAAACCGGUCCCUGGGCCAAAAAUGUUGGGACUGAUUAUCUAAAGCCCUGUGCCUCAGUUUCCUCAUCUACAAAAUAGAAUUUAAAAUUCCUAAUUUACAUAUUUCUACAUAUGAUUAUAAGUUUAAUGAUUAAUUAGUGGUUAAGAGUGUAAGCUCUGAAAUUAAAUAUGCCUGAUUUGAAAUCUAAUUAUCACUAACUUUAUAAAUUAGGCAUGCUUCAGUUUCCUCACCUCAAAUUGUUACAAAGUUUCUAAGUACUAAGUAAAUAUGCAUCCUGAAUGCUUAGCACAGUGUCUGGCACUCUGUAAGCAACCAAGAAAUAUGUGUUUUGGAAAAUCAAAGAAACAUGUUCCAAGUAACUUGGAAAAUGUAGAGAGCCAUAGACUCUACUAUUUCUCACGUUUGAGAUGCCAGAACGUAUAAGCCACACCCUAUUUUCUAAACUCUCAGAGUUAAAAUGAACAAAAAUUCAUUAACGCAGGCAUGAACAAAAACUAUAUGUAUAUUCUUUUCUUUCUUUACUUGUAUGGCUUUUUUUUCUUUCUUAAAUUAUUUUAACACCUUUCCAGAGAUAACCUAGAAAUCCCUAGAAAUCAACCCAGACUUCUAUACCAAAGGGAUCAAACUGGAGGCCAAAUUUAACCUGGAAAUAUGCUUCCUAUAUUUCAAAGUGCUUAAAAGCAUUACCCUAAAAUAGAACAUUUGGAGUUUUCCAAUAAUUUUUUUUUUCCUGGCUUCACUUUAAACAAUUAGAAAAUCUGGUAGCCUUCAGCACACGUACUCAUAUGAACAAAGCUGCUGAAAUAUAAGAACAAAUUCUUUUAAUAGAGAUUUGCAAACUCUUCAUUUCUCACAGUCCUCACCUGUUAUAAUUUUUCUGAUACCAUGACUCAUACCAGUCAUUGUUUAUUAUCAUAUAUACCCAAUUAUUUUUCUUAUAGCAAAGAAACUGUUGUCUGUACCCAUGUAUCUAUCUAAAGCUGGAAUAAGAAAGUUCAAUCUUUAGGCUACAAGUUUCUAAAAAAAACAAAAAGGGUGACAAAAAUUUUUUUAUAUUUUAAGACUGUUGAGACCCAUUUCUUAAUCUUUUUACUGAAGUCUGACAUACAUACAGAAGACGACAUAGAUCAUAAGUUCAAUGACUAUUCAUAAAUUAAACCUAUUUAUGUAUAAUCAGCACCCAGGUCAAGAAACAAAACAUUACCAGCCCCUAGAAGCCUGCUUUUUUGCCUCCUUCCAUUCACUGUUCCCACAAGAAGAAUACACUUGUAUAGCAAGCUAAUAUGUAUAGUCACCUAAAUGCUGAAAAUCUAUUUAGUGUAGCAUAGAUUUGUUUUGUCUGUUUGAACUUUAUGAAAAUGGAAUCACACAGAAUGUACUCUUGUAUUACUGACUCCUUUUGCUUAACAUCUUGUUCAUUAGAUUAAUUCAUGUUGUCAUAUGUAGUUACAAUUUUAUUGAUGCAUUUGUAAGAUACAAAGCUUGCUAUGUCCUCCUUAACUUAUAUGACCUGCUAGUCCCUAUUAGCCAUGAAGUUUUACCCCAAUCUAAAUGUACAUUUUUCUUUAAGAAGCAUUUCCCCUACAAUUCUCCUGAUACCUCAACAUCCCUUGGCCUUUCUACAACAAUUUGACUCCCUGGCCAGUGAUUUAAAUUUUCAAAGGGUCUUCCUUGCUCAAGCAGUGACAAAGUUAUGCAGUCACCUACGACUUGAUAUUCUUUCCUGUCACUAAACUACUUGCCCUCCAAGUUCCCCUUCUUUUCAAAUAUACCUGAAUUAUCUUUAAUUGCCAAAAAGGGAAGUGAUUUUUUUUGUUCCUGCUUUCUAUGUUGCUGCUUUGUCUGUUCUUGAUGAAGAGGAAGUAGUAUUCAAAUAUCACAGCUUCUUUGUGCAACAGCCUAGAAUCAGUGCUUUGACUUUAGGCUCUACUGGGAACUACACUGCUAGUUCUCAUGGUUUGGGGUUCUUCAGACUUGAAUUGGAAAUAUACCACCAGUUCUCCUGGGUCUCCAACUUGCCAAAUGAAGAGCAUGGGACUUCUCAGCCUCAUCAUCAUGGAGAAAAAUAAAGCUGAAGUUUGAGCUUCCCACUCACCAUCAACAAAAUUAUCAGCAUUUUCCAUCAACUAUGUGCCAUGAAUCCUUCCCUCUCUGCUAGACUUUUCCCCCAAGCAUUUUAAGGUAUUCAACUCUCUAAUUUUAUUCAUAAAAUCAAAAACAAAGUUAAAUCUUCUCAAAGUCCGCUUCUGCCUGCUGUCUAGUUCCUCUCCUUUCCUCCUCAGGCAAGUGGCUUUAAAAAGUAGUGCUCACUUCCCAUUUAAUCCUGAAUUUGCUGUACUCAGACUUUGCUUCCAGCCUCCACAUAAACUGUUCUUGGCAAAUGAUCUCAGCAUCACCUGUGAUCCCUCCUUCACCUCAUUCAGACCUCAGCUGGAAUGUGACUUCUCCACAGAGCCCUCCCCCAUGUCCCUCUAUGUUCACUUUUCCUGCUCUACUUUUCCUCAAAGUACCCAUCCUUCCCUAAAUUUGUAUGACUUGGUAAUUUGUUCAAGUCUGGCUCCCCACCAGAAUAUGCACCCACAAAAGCAAGGACUUUGCCUUUCGCCUCUCUUUAUUCCACCCAAGGUAUAGACAUCAGCAGACACUAAACAAACAUGUGUUGAAUUAUUUUUACUAAACCCAAUCAAAACUUUACGAUUUUGACUUACUUUGCUACAAAUUGAUAACCUGCUUCUUUUUAAACAUGCUUCUCUCAUAAUUUCAGUGAUGAUUGUUCUUUAAUGCCUUUCUUCCUUUAUUUUUGUUUCAUCCUUCCCAUCCUAAUGCAAGGAGGUUUCUUUUUUAACAUCCCUAAGGAAUGGUUUGGUCUUUGGUGCUCUUUGUUAGUCACUGUCUCCAACUCCUUCCUGCAGUCUUACUUGCUUCCAUGGCUUCAGUUAUUAUGUACACAUUCUAUGACAAUUUUAUUUAUUUAUUAAAAUGUGGGUUUUUUUACAUCUCUACCACAGAACUCUCUCUUUAAUUCCACAAGAAUGUCUUAGAUGGGCUACUGAUGCCUCCCCAUGGAAACAUAUGAAACUAAAGAAACACAUUUGCUCUCCUCUUUGUUUCCUGGGUAUUCCCUAAACCUUUAAUUUAUAUUUAUUAAUUCAUCGAGCUACCCACUCCCUUAAUCCUGCCUGACCUUCAAGCAUUAUGUGUUUUCAAUUCUGCCUCCUCAGUAGCUCACACAUGCAGUCACUUUUUCUUUAUUUUUGCUGAACUAGUGUUACUUCGAGCUCUAAUGUUUUUUUUCCUAGAUUCAUGACACAGACUUCUACUUUGUCUCCUUGCCUAUCAUAAUGCCUGAAACCCUAAUUAAUCUGCUCUUUUGGUUAUUACAAUGACAAUUUAGAAA
Long non-coding RNA from Sapajus apella (tufted capuchin), 4648 nucleotides. RefSeq lists it as uncharacterized. NCBI's taxonomy places the organism in Eukaryota, Metazoa, Chordata, Mammalia, Primates, Cebidae. The record is from RefSeq and is a predicted model, not a curated record. The transcript has 3 exons.